GAUGAACGCUGGCGGCGUGCCUAAUACAUGCAAGUCGAGCGAACGGACGAGAAGCUUGCUUUUCUGAUGUUAGCGGCGGACGGGUGAGUAACACGUGGAUAACCUACCUAUAAGACUGGGAUAACUUCGGGAAACCGGAGCUAAUACCGGAUAAUAUUUUGAACCGCAUGGUUCAAAAGUGAAAGACGGUCUUGCUGUCACUUAUAGAUGGAUCCGCGCUGCAUUAGCUAGUUGGUAAGGUAACGGCUUACCAAGGCAACGAUGCAUAGCAGACCUGAGAGGGUGAUCGGCCACACUGGAACUGAGACACGGUCCAGACUCCUACGGGAGGCAGCAGUAGGGAAUCUUCCGCAAUGGGCGAAAGCCUGACGGAGCAACGCCGCGUGAGUGAUGAAGGUCUUCGGAUCGUAAAACUCUGUUAUUAGGGAAGAACAGAUGUGUAAGUAACUGUGCACAUCUUGACGGUACCUAAUCAGAAAGCCACGGCUAACUACGUG
RNAcentral lists this ribosomal RNA (497 nucleotides) under uncultured bacterium. RNAcentral describes it as "partial 16S ribosomal RNA". It matches the Rfam family "Bacterial small subunit ribosomal RNA", at positions 28 to 507 of the family's 1533-position model. The record is from RNAcentral.